Molecule: long non-coding RNA, 1274 nt
Organism: Brassica oleracea var. oleracea
Lineage: Eukaryota; Viridiplantae; Streptophyta; Magnoliopsida; Brassicales; Brassicaceae
Exons: 2
Source: RefSeq, a predicted model, not a curated record
UGGGUUUCUUUGUCUCUUUUUUUUGUUUACGUAUAUGUAUGAUUUGGUUUCUCUGGUAGACCUGUGAGUUUGUUUCUUCUGAUUUUGGAUUCUUUGCGGUUUGGUCUCUUGACUCAAUUAUGGGAAAAGAGCUUAGCUUUAUGGACUGAAUUCCUUUUCUGGAGAAGUUUCGUUAAAGAUUUACCCUUUUGCUAUGUUUAGACUAUAAAACUUUGACGUAAAUUGACUUAUUAAUUGUAUAAAUCUAGUAAUUUUUGGCAGAUUCCUUAAGAGUUUCUUGCUAUGUUUGCUUGUGUUUCAGGGAAUGAAGCUUUGUUGCUUUGUGGUUAGCCAUUACUCUGAGGUUCAUUCCAAUUCUAGUCUAUUGAUUGCUUUUUCAAUUAUAUUGAUCUAAGAACUGUUUUCUUUGUUGUUACUUCGUGUUAGUGUUAAUAACAAUUUGACUUGAAUAGCAGAUAAUUGUUACAAACAUUAAAUCAGUUUUUCGGAUAGUUUGUCAACAUUACACGGCAAUUAGAAUGUUAACCAUCUCCAGCAUUACUUGACCAUAUUGCCGUUGUAGCUGGGGUAUCAAAAUUAUUGUCUAGAUAAUAUUAUAUUUACCAUUUAGCAAUACAGAAAAGAAUUACUUUUCAGGAACAAAUUCCAUCAAUAUAGUCCUGCUUAAUUGUUAAUUGCAUAUUUUGUCUGAAAAUAAGAACAUGUUUUUCGUUUCGCAAAAUGUUGUUGAAGCUUUUGAUGAAAUGGAUAGUCUCGUUAGAAUGCAUCCUUGUCUCUUUCAAUCUCCAUUAGCUACAAACAUUCUUUAAAACACUUUUAAAAGGCUCACCUAUGAUCUCUGCACAAAGAAUGUGGUUUCUUUGUAUUAAGUUCUUGAAAACGAUAGGUGUAGCUUAUGCUUCAGCUGUUUAGUUAUCUCGAGAGUGGGUGUUGUGAUUUGCUCGGAGAUCAUGGUCUCAACCAUUUUCUUCUGAUACCAUCACCACAUAGAGACGAAGAUGAUCAAGAAAGGAAUGUGUAUUUUUAUAACACGAAGUGUGUCUUUAAAGGCAUACAUUAUUAGCUCAAAAGUAGUAACUGAGGAAGAGCUUUAAAUCACUCUUCGAGCUGCAAAGGAAGGAAUAUAUUCGCUCCAACGGAAUUUAGAUGCAUCAAGCGAUUUGUAUUUAUGUGUUAAAAUUUUGAUUAAUUUUCUAAAAAGUUGUUUAGCGCGAUAAACAAAUAGUUGAAAGUCACUUACAGAUUUAUUCUAGACAAUAAAAGUUUUAGCCAGA